This 482-nucleotide ribosomal RNA is filed under the name Escherichia coli. Its description in RNAcentral is "partial 23S ribosomal RNA". It matches the Rfam family "Bacterial large subunit ribosomal RNA", at positions 2236 to 2717 of the family's 2925-position model. Lineage: Bacteria; Pseudomonadati; Pseudomonadota; Gammaproteobacteria; Enterobacterales; Enterobacteriaceae. The record is from RNAcentral.
UAAUCGGGGUUGCGGACAGUGUCUGGUGGGUAGUUUGACUGGGGCGGUCUCCUCCUAAAGAGUAACGGAGGAGCACGAAGGUUGGCUAAUCCUGGUCGGACAUCAGGAGGUUAGUGCAAUGGCAUAAGCCAGCUUGACUGCGAGCGUGACGGCGCGAGCAGGUGCGAAAGCAGGUCAUAGUGAUCCGGUGGUUCUGAAUGGAAGGGCCAUCGCUCAACGGAUAAAAGGUACUCCGGGGAUAACAGGCUGAUACCGCCCAAGAGUUCAUAUCGACGGCGGUGUUUGGCACCUCGAUGUCGGCUCAUCACAUCCUGGGGCUGAAGUAGGUCCCAAGGGUAUGGCUGUUCGCCAUUUAAAGUGGUACGCGAGCUGGGUUUAGAACGUCGUGAGACAGUUCGGUCCCUAUCUGCCGUGGGCGCUGGAGAACUGAGGGGGGCUGCUCCUAGUACGAGAGGACCGGAGUGGACGCAUCACUGGUGUUC